Molecule: ribosomal RNA, 218 nt
Filed under: uncultured bacterium
Lineage: Bacteria
Description: partial 16S ribosomal RNA
Rfam family: Bacterial small subunit ribosomal RNA
Source: RNAcentral
UAGUAUGGGGAUCUGCCCGAUAGAGGGGGGUAACUACUGGAAACGGUGGCUAAUACCGCAUAAUGUCUACGGACCAAAGCAGGGGCUCUUCGGACCUUGCACUAUCGGAUGAACCCAUAUGGGAUUAGCUAGUAGGUGUGGUAAAGGCUCACCUAGGCGACGAUCUCUAGCUGGUCUGAGAGGAUGAUCAGCCACACUGGGACUGAGACACGGCCCAG